Lagopus leucura (white-tailed ptarmigan) is the source of this 996-nucleotide long non-coding RNA. RefSeq lists it as uncharacterized. The record is from RefSeq and is a predicted model, not a curated record. NCBI's taxonomy places the organism in Eukaryota, Metazoa, Chordata, Aves, Galliformes, Phasianidae. The transcript has 2 exons.
AUUGCUUGCACUGUGUGUUUGUGUUCAAACUCUCCGUAGCGUGCAGUUGCAAAAUUUUUUGUAGUGAAACUGAUGUGAGAUUAAAAGGAUCUAUCACAUAACUAGGCAUCAUCUUGGUAAUGAAUUAUAGAUGGACAAGUCUCAGAGGCUGAAAGAUUUUGAAAAAUUAUGCACUUGCCUCCAAAAGAAAAGGAAAAAGUGUUUAUAAGGACAAUACCAUUGUUGUACUGUAAAAUAUCUAGCAGAAGUAACUCAAAGGGUAGACUGCAUUCUGAAUCUAGACUUCUCUGGUGGCUGAGACAUAUGUCACCUUCUACACUCCUCACUAGCCUGGCAGCAAGCAGUUGCAAUAUGCCACUAUGGUAGAGCCACUGCCUGCUGUCUGCCCAGCCUGGCAGGGUCCAAGCAAUGAUGCUGCUCUAUGCCCCUGUGGGACUGCAGUAAGAACUACUCAACUGACCUCCAUAAAUGAAUGGAGCAGCCCUGCUCGGAGCAGCGUGCAUCUUCCUGGAGCUGUACACAAGAAAGGGCUCCAUCUGAGUCACCCUCCUAAUUUGAGUACCCCUUUACAUCUUAGCAGUAAUAGUUGAAAGCCAUCAGAGCCAGCUAGAAAAUCCUUGUGUCUGUGUUCUCCCAUGCAAAUAUCUCUUCUCCCUAUAUAUUAGUUACCAUGUGUGGGUUUUCUCUCUCACUCUCUCUUGCCAUAUGUGUGGGAGUUGAUGGCAUCAACUUUAUGAAAUCUCAGCGCAUGCCAAGAACAGCUGGAGAAGUUGAAACAAGUUCUGGGUGAGGUAUGCUAUUCCCUGACAAACCUGGCGAGAGUUGUGAAAGAAGCGACGUCCCUGCCAAUUCAGAAAAUGAAGCUUCAGUGCAUCUUGCUAAAGACAGAAAAAUGCAUUGUACACCUGACAGAAGUUGCUUGUCUUGAGACUUCUCGAGAACAAUCUGUCAAAUGUAGCAGGCUGUCAUUAAGAACAAUUAAACUAAACUAAAAUC